UUUCAACACCAUGGCCAAUCCUGGGAACAGAAGAGGGAUCUACCGCCCCUUGACCCUUACCUGCUCCCUGCUCAUUGUGGGAAUGUGCUGUGUGUCUCCUUUCUUCUGCCAUAGCCAGACAGACCUGCUGGCCCUUAAUCAAGCUGAUCCUCAGUGUUGGGAAUCUUCUUCAGUGCUCCUCCUAGAAAUGCGGAAGCCUCGAAUUUCUAACACUGUUUCAGGUUUCUGGGAUUUUAUGAUCUACCUAAAGUCGUCUGAGAACUUGAAGCACGGGGCACUGUUUUGGGAUCUGGCCCAACUCUUCUGGGACAUCUAUGUGGACUGUGUCCUCUCCAGGAACCAUGGCUUAGGAAGGAGGCAAUUGGCUGGGAAGGAAGAGGAGAUUUCAGCAGUGCGUCCACAGCACACAGGGAGAAAACAAGGUGGUGAACUCUAGAUCCCCGUGUUUUUCGAAAGGGUCAAUGAAGUAUGAAUGUGAUGAAUUGUGAGGAAGAGGGAAAUGGCUUUCGGGGAAUCCAUUGCCACAUAUAUUCCUCUCAGGGGUGAACCCAAGAGCACAUAAGUGAUAGGAAGAUAGCACUGCCUUUUGCAUUUCAUGGUAGCUGUUUGUAUCAACAUAUUGUCAUUUUCAUACUUCAUGUAAACAGCAGCAAAGAAGAGUCAAAAAGGCAAGUAAGGAAAGGCAUGAUUCUCAAAAUACAACGUAAAGGCAUAAAGCGAUUAGCCUGAAUAUUAGCAGUCAUAACCUGUCUUUGCAUGCUAUGGGUUUGGGAAGAUUUGAAUGUAAGUCUGGGGAAUAUUCACAGCACGCAAGCUCUUGCCUCUUUUAAAUAGAAAAAAAGACUGCUUUCAUGUAAAUGGAGAGGCUCCUUGUAAUGUACUUAGUUGGUGAAGUAAAGGGCAGAAAAAUUGGCUAGCUUGCAGAUUCACUCCUUGUUGCUUUUUGAACACAUCUCAAAUAUGUAAUUAACUUCCAGCAAGUUGAAUGAUUAAUUUUUAGUAAUUUGGAACUUCUGACAAAUUUAGAGAUUCUCACUGGUGUAAAUAUUUUAUUAAAAAACAGUCUUCUCUGGGGGCACUAGAAGAAGUAUCCUUUAUAGAAUUAGAAUUAGAGCAAGUGAGCCCCUAUGAGUAAGCUGAGAGAUAGAUACCCUGGCCCUAUUCAUAUUGUUUUUGUUCCAUUUUUAGAGUUGUUUCAACCAAUGAGCUUGCAAUCCUUGCAGCAAAUCCUGUUUGGGUGCUAAGAAUCAUUUAAGCAAUAGUGCAAAACUGAGGCAUAAAUAAAAUUUACAUUUGUAUAUUUUAUUGUGAGAACUGUUAUAAUCCCUAUAAUUUCCCUAUUAAAACAGCACUUAACAGUAAUAUUUCUAGAGCAACACUUUUCCGAGAUUGUAGAGCUUUUAUAUAUCUAGUUUGCUUUAACCUCACUAAAAAUCUUAUGAUUUGCUGAUCCAUUAAACCAGAUAAUCCUCUGCUGUUAUUUAUAGAUAAAUUUAUUAUUUUGGCAAGUGUCAUUGUAACUUAAACCAAUUUCCGUAUUUAGAGGAAAUAUUCUUCUAUCAGCUUAGCUACUAAAGAAAUACAAAAAUAAGCGUCUUUCAAUGUUGGUUACCAAUAUUUAAAAAUUAUUUAAACAGAGGCUGUUUAGACAUCAGCAUCAAGAGAAUUACAUACUUUCUUCACUUGCAGUCAAAUGCUCUACCCCUGUAUAUUUUCUUCAUUUGUACUGUAGGACUCUUUCUUCCAUUCUUACCAUAUUUAGUUGUCAUACUCAAAUCACUACCAAUAUUUAUCUUUUAUAUUUGCACUCACUUUGAAUUACUAAAUUAUCUAUAGAAAAAAAUGAAUGUAAUAAUAUUUGUGUUCAGAUGAACACGAGAAUAAGUAUACACACACACAAGGUCUUUCUCUAAAGCAGCUUUCAGUUUGCUUGCUUGCAAUGUGGCUAUCAGAAUAGUCAGAAGCUUCAUGUAAUUUUUGGAGCAUAUUUCAACAUAGCAUUUCUAUCUUCUUAUUCUUCUUCUUUUUAAAGGCAGUAGAUUUAUCUUCAGCUUUGGAAGCCACUUUUUUAAUCUUGCUACAGAGUUGCUGUUGACUCAGCUGGUCUGCAAACUUUAGUCAGAGUGACUAUGUAGCAGGAGGGAACAUUCCACUUUAUUGGAGUUAUUUUAAUGUUUGACAUAAACAACUGUUUGCAGAUCAGGAAACAAAGCUUUCCAUUUUGAUUGUAUCAUCACAGUCAAAGAGGGUCUUGGGUCAAGAAGACACCGUGUCUAAAAGUUAAAUAGUUGCUGGAACAUCGAGAUUUCAUCUCAAGAGGCUUGCUGAAAUCUCUAGUGGCUCAGCGGGGCUCUGGAUGUACCUGCACGGAUUCUCCACUAACUUUUUCUAUUGUCCUUGGGGGAUUAAUAUGCUACCAGGUUGGGAUGGGGGUGAGGGUAAAGAGAUGUUUGUCUCUCUAGUUCUCAGGGAAAUCAAAUCACCAGAGCAGAAGGGAAGAACUAAUAUGUCUACAUAAUAUGCAAAAGGGUUCUUAUUUUGAUAUCUUCAAGUUUAAUAGUUUAAAUACACUUGAGAAUUGUUGCUAUCAGUCAUUGCUAAAAACAUGAAACUCCUGGGCACCUGGGUGGCUCAAUUGGUUGAGCAACUGACUCUUGAUUUUGGCUCAGGUCAUAAUCCCAAGAUUGUGGGAUCAAGCCUGCAUUGGGCUCCACACUGAGUAUGGAGCCUGCUUAAGAUUCUUCCUCUCUCUGUCUCUCUUCCUCUGCCUCUUCCCCCUCCUUCUCUAAAACAAAACAAAACAAAAAAAUUAAAAAAAAAACCAAACCAUAAAACUCCUAUUUUGUAUGCCAGUAUAUCCUCUUUGUUACUAUUGGGCCAAAAACUAUGAAAACAAGAGAUAUUAAAUAGCUAUGCAACCUCAGUCAACUUAUUUAGCCCUCAGUUUCUUCAUCUGAAAAAGAGGGGUGUGGAAAGAAUUAGAUGAACUGUAAAGUCUCUUUAUGUUCUCCUUUCUAAUGUUCUGUGAUUCUAUAAAAAAGAAAUUUAUGAGAGGCAUGUAUUUAACAAUCAAUAGAGUCUGGAAGAGCUUUACCCCAAGGACAGCUUGUUGAGCUGGGUGAUGACGUAGAUACUAUAGUUGUUUAUAACAGUGCUAAACAGGAACAGAGGGAAUCUAGAAAUGAGAAUUCCAAAAAUUCUGAGGUCUAGAUGUGUUCUCACUUGAGAAAAGACUCAAAAGAUCAUUGUUAGUUUGUCUAGAAAGGAUGAGUUAUUAACUGAGUGCUGUAAUAUCCAGAAGGUGUGAAAAUGGUGUAACCGGCCUUAACCACCAAAGUAUGAUGAAUUUUGUCAAGGCAGAAGGAGGGAGAGAGUUAUUAAUUGAUUUAGGAAAAGAGUAGGCUGAUAACUUCCAAAUAGAAAAUGACCAAUUUGACGUUAACUCAUGGGUUAGUAAAGGCUUCAAUGCAAAUGAAGGGAUUUUGAAGUAUAUCCUUGUUUGUGUCAAAAACCGAUGGCCCUUUCCUUCAACAAAUCAUGCUUUGCCAGUGAGAGAAAUAAAAAAAAAAAACCUGCCUGCCUGAGACUGGCAGUUUGUAUGUUCUAGAAAAAUUGGGAGUCUUUGCAUUCCUUCAUGAUAAGAACAUUAAAAUUCAGAUUUAUAAUUUGAUGAUAUUUGCGGUUGGUGUCUAACUAGCUGGUAAAUGUUAGUGCUUGUUUUUGUAAAGCACCAAGCAUUAGAGAAAACAGUGCUUCGGGAAUAUAAAUAAUUAGAUGCACCAAUGUUUGAUUUUUUUUACUUUACUUACUCCAAGAAAUUUCCUAGAGACAUCUUUAGAAAUUACUUAUCUAGAACUCUACCCUAAAGAAAUAUUCAGAGAUGUAACCAAUUGUGCAGUACAUGAAUCUUCACUGCAAUGCUAUUUAUAACAGUAGAAAAUGUGGAAAUAAUUGGAACGUCGCACAAUAAGGUAAUGGUUCGCUAAAUUAUGGUAUAAAGUGUGUAUGCAUAAAAUUAUGGUUAUCUCUGAAAGAUUAUAUUAUGGGUAAUUUAAGUUUUUUCUGUAUAUUUUUGUAUUAAAAAUUAUAUAAUGACCACUUUUACUUGUUUAGUCAGAACAUAUCUUAAUACAUACAUUUUAGUUAACAAGGACAUGUCUUUAUUAUACUUUACUUAGGUUAUUUAACUAAACUGCAAAGGACACAUAAACACAGAUUUACAUACACACUCCUGCAAUAAAUUUAUACAGACUUCUGAUAGAGUGACAGAAAUAACAAACUUUAAGACCAAUUUAUUGACAUUUAAUUAACCUGAGAAUAAUUUGGUGCUCUAACGACUAGUUCCUUUUCUCUGCUUUCAGGUGCAUAUUCUCAGCAGCUAAGAACACCUUUCCUAAAGAAGAAAGAGUUGAUUGAAGGUGUGAUAAGCAUGCACUUGCACGGAAGUGGGUCUAAGCUCAUUGGGAAAGUCACCCGUGGCCUGGAAAUAAAGAGAAAGUAAAUCUAACCUCAGAGCUAACUCGUAUCUCGAAACUAAAAAAACACUGUUUCCUUGACUCUUGAUCAUUUAAUUACUUGAAAUGGUGGGAAUGUCCAGAGGUAAAUAUUAAGCCAUGUUCUCUCAGCAUACCUACUUAAGGUUUUUCAUUAUUUUAGCCUGCUAGCAUGUUCCUUCAAAGGGUGGCUUUACUGCCA
Molecule: long non-coding RNA, 4695 nt
Filed under: Lynx pardinus (Iberian lynx)
Lineage: Eukaryota; Metazoa; Chordata; Mammalia; Carnivora; Felidae
Source: RNAcentral